Cuculus canorus (common cuckoo) is the source of this 4449-nucleotide long non-coding RNA. RefSeq lists it as uncharacterized. The transcript has 3 exons. The record is from RefSeq and is a predicted model, not a curated record. Lineage: Eukaryota; Metazoa; Chordata; Aves; Cuculiformes; Cuculidae.
AGAAAAUCAUCAUGAUUUCAAACAUACAAAUAUGAAUGAAAAGAACUAAUGCAGUGAUGAAAAUGAUGAGUAGUGUUAUCUGCUGAACUCUGAACUGCUCUUUCCAAGGCAGUUUAUUGAUCACUUUUGUGAGACCGUCUUUUCAUGGAGACAAAGGAGGAGUGGCAAGGCAUCACACUGGCGCACAAAACAUGAGCAAGGAGAGGAACCAGGAGGUCCUGUGCAGUGACAUUCAACAUAGGAAUAUGCUACCCAAGCAUCACUCGCCUACUUGGCAGAAAGGCCACAAGGAAGCACUUACGUAUCCUUAUACGGCAGCAGAAGGAUUGGAUAAUCAAAAAUCACCCCAGCCACAGCUCUAAAGGCACACAACUACCCAUUUGGAAACCAACUCCAAUUACCUCAUGCACCUUUAAAGCUCCAGUCACAAAGGUGAUUUGAGUAUAUCAUUAUUUACAUGGCAUGAGAGGCUCCGGCCAAGAACAAGCAACUGGGCUACCAGUGUCAACCGCAGCAUGAGGUACCUACAGAUCCUCCUCACACAAGCCUACACCAGGGAAGUAUUCCUGAAGCUUUACGCCUCAGCGUUUUCCCAGUUCAUACAGCUGUUCAAAACUCUGAGGACCUCUAAAAUGAAGUGACAUGCAUUUUUAUUUGAAGAAGCACUUCUCAUUAUUACUCCUUUUCUAGAAGUGGAACAUAUCCUGAGGUGGAAUUUUUAACAUAUUCAUGAUGAUACCUUUGCUUUUACAUUCUCUUGGGAGCGAGACUGCCUACAAUGGAAAGGAGGAGAGAAAAGAUUAAUUCUUUCACAGUAGGAAACAAAUAAAAGGAAUAUUAUGAUUUUUCCGGUCCCUUUCAAAAAAUAUGGAAAGAAAUUCUUUAUGCAACAGAGAACGCAUUGGGUAUUUGCAAAAAAAAAAGUAUAUAUUUUUCUUAGUCAUUUGUAAUAAAAUAUAACAAAUGCAUUUAGAAGAGUGUAAACUUUUAUAAUUUUUUUUUCUAUUUAGAAUUUGCUUUUACUUUCAAUGCAUCCAGUAUCUGAGUACUCUGGCAACCACAGCCCCGGAAAAGUGUUCUCUGUGUAAAUCAAGGGUAUUUGAUUAUCAGUUUAUUAACUGUUUGUGAUAUUUGAGCUCUGUUGGAAUGUAUCUGUGAUGUAUCUGCCCUUGACUACUUUUUCUCCAGCUUGCACGCCUGGCUGGUCAUGGAGAGAAGGGCUGUAAUCUUUGCCCUGAGCCUGCAAGCCUCAAGUGUUUCUUCUGAACACAUUGGGUUUGUUUAGGAAACUACCAAGGCAACUAACACACAUCUUUCCUGAAGGACAGGUGGAACUGGAAAGCUGUAGAAAUAUGAAAGCUUCAGGCAUGAAGCCAGCGUCAGCAAUGUGUGCUCUCACCACCCGUUUGAGCUAGGAGGAGAAGAAACCUGUGCUGUCCUAAUGCUGCAAAGAGGGAGCUCCCCAGCACUGGUUAGUCACUGGGUUUUCUGCUUUCCUCUCUCCUUUUUUAUUCCCCUACAAUUCCCCCCUCCCCUCAAAGCAGCCUGCAUCUGCAGCCACACAGGGAAGCAAAAAAGGGGUGGCAAAAAAAGUAUUUCCAUCAACCAUCCUGACUCUUGCAUUUUCUUCCAAAAUGAGGCAUGACUAGGAGCACUAUAUUGCACAGAACUGAUGAUGAGAACAGAAAGAAAUGGUAAUUCUUAUAGAUGGACAUUUUUUUGUGGUAGUGACUUCACAAUGGACAGGUUUUUUCCCAUUCAAAUCCAGUCGUGUGGAAAAGAGAUACUCAUGGCAAACAAUAACAAGGAAUUAAUUUGUAUCAGUUUAAUUCAGGAAAUCGGUAGUGACUUGAAAGUCUGACUCAUACUGAUUCCCAGGAAACAUUGUCUGAGCAGAAUACCAGCAUCUUCAAAAACACGGGGUUAAAAAAUAUAUUUAUUUUCACUAGGCAGUUUCCCUUAGGCUUUCACAUCUGAAAUUUUGAAGUAUAAGAAAUGUUUCUUUGAAAUAAUUGGAGGAAAAGAAUUCAUGAAACUAUACAUAUUCAUAGAGAAAGAGAGAGUGUGUUGAAAUAAAAGGAAGAACAAGGCUACCGAAGUGUUCCUAAAAGCUAGAACAGGUCUAUAAAUUCAAUUAAGUGUUGAGUGGCAGCAAAAGAAUUCACUAGGCUGACAAAUUAGCAAUAACUAGUACAUAGGACAUACAGCCACAAAACUCUUGCUUGCUUGAUUAAUCUUAAGAGUAAAAGAAAAGAAGAAAAAAAAGAAAAAAAGAGAAAGUAUAUCUAAAGAAAACACAGAAAAUACAAGAAAUUCUGCCAAGAUGACUGGGAAUAUUGAAAUGCUACGUGGCUUUCCAAUAACAACAUGGGUUAGGCUUGGCUAUGUUAUUCAUUUGCUUGAAGUUAAGCACAUGCUUAAGUUCUGUGCCAAGUGGAGGCCUAAAUAGUAUCUGCUAAAUAUUGGCUUAAAAACUGCCAUCUGUAUGGCACGCGUUCCUGCACACGUCUUUCUCCCUUUCCCCUCCUUGUAGCCACAGCAUUGGCUGCAGAGAGCCCUGUGUCUGAAAAAAAAGCCCCACCUGACCACAGUAAAUGGGCUGACGUGGAUCAUCUGGUCUCCACAGGUUUUUAUUCAUCCCCAGAAAGAAUUUUGCAGCUCAAUUGUUAUUGAUAAGUAAUCACCAGGCUCACUGACAGAUGGGAUGUGGAUAGCUUUAUAGCCACUGCAAAGCAUUACAGUAGAUAAGAUUACUCUAAGCCAUUAUUUCCUUCUUAAUAGCUUGCUCAAUAUUUUAUCACAAUGAAAAGGUUCACCACUCAGCAAUAAUAAGAUAUAAUUAACUCUUGUUGCCACGGUGGCACAGACUAUAAAUAUUGUGUGGCGUCCAUGUGUUUCUAGACGACAGCCAGAUUUAGAGAUUUGAGCUGGAUGAAAUACUGUUUCUAUCUCUGAUUGCAUUAGCUUGAAGUCCUGGAAGAUGUAUUCCAGAUGUGCUGUGCUAGCAUGAUUAUUUUAUUAAAGUGCAGAAAGAUUUUAGGAGCAACACCCUGAUUAAUUAGUUUGUAGUCUCCAUGAAGUUUUUUUCUUUUAUUUCUGUCUGAAUUAGUGAUACUUUGUUAUCACAUUAGUUUCAUCCACUUGUCAUAGUUGGUGAGAGAGCUGUCAUCUUCUGGCAAGUGAUCAUCUAUUCAUCUACAUCUCCGGGCCUCUUUAUGCAUUGAUGCUGAUUCAAAGGUAACAAAAGGAAAUCUUCAGGUGGAACCUCAGUAAACUCAGUGAAGAUUAUUUAUAAGCUAGCAUGUCAAAGCUGCUCAAUGCAGUGUACAGAGACUCUCAAUUUUCCUAUGUACACAUAUUCACAUGAAGUGCAUAUUCUCUAUAUUUGUUAUUUAUGUGUACGUGUCUGUAUAGACACAACUGCUAAUAUUAAAGAUGCAGAAUAAAGUUGAAGACUGUAAAGGCUGACGGUUUUGUUUAUAUUUCAUUUUGAAGCUGAUGGCUGGAUGAGCAUGAAUUUUUCUUUUUUGUUUGUAUUUCUGUAUUUAUCCCAAAAGCAUAUUAAAGAGACAGUUCCCCUUCAUUUCUACUUUGAAUGCGUCUGGUGCCCUCAAGUGAAACCACUGACUCAUGCUCCUUCAAAAGCCUCAGGUGAUCAUUAAUUCAGGAAACUAGAUGCAAGAGAAAAUACUUGGCUUUUCUGUCUUGAAGGAAGUUAAAAUAAAAAUCCUCGGCCACAGGACUGUCUUCUCAUAACACAUUCCAAAGACUGUCUUUCUUUCUAUUUGUUGGCCUGCAACGCGUUAUAGCAAAGUAUUUUUCGCUAUGUCUGCUUCAUGCAAUCAAAGCAAAGUUGCUAUAUCUUACACAUCAUGUCAAACACACCUCAGAGAUGGCUGCUACAGAGCACUUCUGCAGGGAAGCCAGGCGGAUCACGCCUCCCAAGUUGUACUUCAACUGUUUUAUUUUCAUCAUUCUUUUCCCAGAUCUUUGCCAGACCUGAGAAACUGAAAAAAAACUUUCUUAUUCCAAGAUUACUCUAAGAAAAAAAAUAUUGACACGACCUUAAAAUAGUUAGUAUUUUUAAUACAAUGAAAAUCAUUUAUUCACUUCCUAUUUUUUAUACUAGUUGCAAUAGCACAGUAGCUUAAGUGUUGCAGUGUCUCUCUCAGCGACCUGCGGGUUUCAGGUUCUCCUGUUCUCAUAUAUAUGAGAAAAAGAAAUUAACAGAGAGCAACCAAGACUUGUCCUUCCUUCAGAGUUUUUGCUCAUCAUUUUCAUGGAAGACUUGUCUUAGUGCUGAAACCACGAUUAGAAGUUUUCCCAUGUAAAUCCUGUACCAACUCCUACUUACUGGUGGAAGUGGCAUCUUUCCCUCUCCUACUUCAGCCAGUAAUAAUACAGAAGUGGCAAUUGGGGAUUCUCCUCUUAAAAGUAGUAUGCCCUGAA